Molecule: ribosomal RNA, 492 nt
Filed under: uncultured bacterium
Lineage: Bacteria
Description: partial 16S ribosomal RNA
Rfam family: Bacterial small subunit ribosomal RNA
Source: RNAcentral
AGUGAACGCUGGCGGUAGGCCUAACACAUGCAAGUCGAACGGCAGCACAGUAAGAGCUUGCUCUUACUGGUGGCGAGUGGCGGACGGGUGAGGAAUACAUCGGAAUCUACUUUUUCGUGGGGGAUAACGUAGGGAAACUUACGCUGAUACCGCAUACGACCUACGGGUGAAAGCAGGGGAUCUUCGGACCUUGCGCGAUUGAAUGAGCCGAUGUCGGAUUAGCUAGUUGGCGGGGUAAAGGCCCACCAAGGCGACGAUCCGUAGCUGGUCUGAGAGGAUGAUCAGCCACACUGGAACUGAGACACGGUCCAGACUCCUACGGGAGGCAGCAGUGGGGAAUAUUGGACAAUGGGCGCAAGCCUGAUCCAGCCAUACCGCGUGGGUGAAGAAGGCCUUCGGGUUGUAAAGCCCUUUUGUUGGGAAAGAAAAGCAGCAGGUUAAUACCCCGCUGUUCUGACGGUACCCAAAGAAUAAGCACCGGCUAACUUCGUG